Cyprinus carpio carpio is the source of this 2631-nucleotide long non-coding RNA. The record is from Ensembl. Lineage: Eukaryota; Metazoa; Chordata; Actinopteri; Cypriniformes; Cyprinidae.
UGCCGUUUCCUUCUCUCGUGCGACUCAAGAGUUUAUAUCCAUGUCUGCAGGAUAAACCUGAUUCAUCCCCACCUCCAAUCAUGUUUCUUUGACUGCGUUUCCUAAAGAUUAUUUUCUCUCUGCAUCCAUCCGGGGAGUCAUUCAGAGGUUAUGAUUUUCGGGCUGCUGUUAUUGGAUAUCAUGCUCCAGUUCGGGACGCCAUUGGUCUGGAGCUUGUCAGUCUGUGGCGCGCCGACGCUCGCGAAGCCGCUGCGCAGACAGUGCACGACACGCGAGUGGCCAGAGAGUGUCUGGAGUCUGUCUGAAACUGAUAAAAAUGGUGAUGAUGGAGUUCAUCCAGAGUCUCGCUCAUACUCAUUAGAAAAACAAAGGGAGGCAGAGCGGAAUUAUACAAUCAUCCAACACUCUGUAGUCUGAUCGUAGCUCGAAAACUAGAUUCUAUUGUAGCGCAUUUCAAAGUUUUAUUCCAUGUUUUUCACCAGACAGACAGUUCAUUAAUGCACAGGCAGGAGGAUAACAUUUCUGAAGUCUUCCGAUGACCUCUUGGAGCUGUCACAGAUGCAGCUACACUUAAAGGUGAUACCUGUGUUCUGCGGUUGUGCUGCCGUGCUGACGGUAGGUUUAAAAGGGCAUUUCCCAGCCAGUACUCUGUGAAGCAGAUUUGGGCAUGUCAUGGAGAGAGAGGUGGAAAGGCAGGAGUGCAGAGAGGUGUGCAAAGAUGUGACGUUUGAAAUGUUGCUGAGUAAUCGCACUUUCAGCUUGGCACACCAAGUUUCCAGCACUCGCUUCUUAUAUGAAUUUCGAACUGAUUUUUUCCUUGAACACAAUGAUUAGACAGGUCGAUUAACAGACAGGUAAAAAAAACUGUACAGACAGUCUGGCACAGAAAAAGCCUAACGUUUGAUUGUGAAGGUUACAGGGUGAUUCUUGAGAGAGAGAGAGAGAGAGAGAGAGAGGCUCCAAAAGUCAUUUUGUGACUUCAUAUGGAUGAUUAAAAAGCUGCAGAAAUGAGAAAUGAUAUCUCUCCAAAUGAAGAUGGCAGCCAUUUUUGUUGUAAUGUCCAACAGCGCCCCCCAGGUCUUGUGGAGCAAGCUUAUGGAUUUUGUGUGUGAAAGAACAAGGCUCUCACUCUCCUGCAUUGCUUGCAUAUAUUCAAUAUCAAAGCCACAAUGGCAUUUUAAAGGGAUCACUGGCAGGCAGCCAAAACACAGAGCCUCUCUCUUUUUAGUGGCUGUCCUGGCUUACUUGCUUUCUUCCUUUUACUCAUGUCCUCGUGCUGAUGGCAGCGUAACGUCUGACUCUUCUCAAAGCUUUACCCAAGUGCUGGAGCGAGACAUUGGAUGUAUUAGGACAGCUGCCUCCAUUUUAGGGAGGAGUUUUGCAGAGGAAGAUGGAUACCCUUUCCACAGUACCAGAAUUUGCAGCGUGAAUCAGUUCUGACUUGAGGCAUCGCCUGCAAUGUUUAGCUAUGUGUUGUCAUUCGAUAUUCAUUUGUUACCCGAAUGUGAUACAUUUUCCCGAAAUUUACUUCGAUUGCAUUUGUUGUGUUUAUAGGAGAUUAAAUGGAAUAUAGUCUAGCUAGUUUACCCUUCUCAAAUUGAAGCAAAUGCGCUUUUUUUAUAGUUCUACUUUUGAUUUUCUGCAUAGGUGUUAUUGUUACAUUUUUAGAUCUUCCUUUUUUUUCUGACCACGCACCGAAAGAUUUUAAUCUGCUUUUUAAAUGCAUUUCUGAUUUUGAUAUAAGUAACAUAUUUGCUAGUUAGUUAGAAAAAAAAAAUCAUAAUAUCCAAUUAAAAUGGUGCCUUCAGGCCCUCGGGAUUUUACUGGUAAAUGAUGAUGUGCUCUAAUCCGCUGUGAAAUGUUAUUUGUUUUAUUUUAUUGUAUAUUACCCAGGCAAAUAACUAUGCUGUGUUUAGUUUUUUCUUUUUUUUAAACCCCGGGUAGUGAAUUAGACCGAUACCUAAAAUGCCAGAUUCCUUUGACCCUAAAAUGCAUUAAAUUACAGAUUGCUUUAGCAAGAUUAAACCAUUUAUUUUUUUGUUUUGUCCAAAAUGUUAGUCCUUUGAAUGUGUCCUUAAUUCUAUGUAUUUAUUAAAGCAUUCAUUUCAAAUUCUUUAUAUGUUCUCCUGCGUUAGAAUAUUCUGUUAAAUGAUUCUUAUCUCUGUCAUUAGUUAGUAUCUCUAAAAACGAUUGUUUCACUGUGUCUCAGUAUUUGUGUUGUGAACAGGGCAAAUAAAAAUACGUGCACAUUUUGUAGUAAAUGUUCAUUGAAGCAAAUAUAUUAAGCAAGAAAGAAUAUAUGUUGAAAAUGUUUUCACAUUAUUUUUGAAGCAUUCCCGUGAUUGUUAAAAUGAUUGUUUUGUCAGUUUAUGUAAAUACAGUAGUGGUUAUUAUUAACGUUAAAUAAAAGUAUUUUAAAUUGCUUUUAUUAAUCCGUGUUGUCUUGUAUUCAUGAUGUAAAUUUAAGUUUGACUGUUUUAUCGUAAGUAUUGUGUUUAUUGUUAUAAUUGUAAUAAAAACAUUCUUUUAAUUUCUUUGAUAUAACAGUGUCUAUUUGUAUUGCUAAAAAAACAAUUGAUGGAUUCAUGUGAUGCAAAUAUGAUAUGAACGAGACUGGUUUGAAGUGUAGAG